ACGAACGCUGGCGGCGUGCUUAACACAUGCAAGUCGAACGGUGAUGCUCCAGCUUGCUGGAGUGGAUCAGUGGCGAACGGGUGAGUAACACGUGAGCAACCUGCCCCAGACUCUGGAAUAAGCGCUGGAAACGGCGUCUAAUACUGGAUACGAAACUGGCCCGCAUGGGCAUGGUUUGGAAAGUUUUUCGGUUUGGGAUGGGCUCGCGGCCUAUCAGCUUGUUGGUGAGGUAAUGGCUCACCAAGGCGACGACGGGUAGCCGGCCUGAGAGGGCGACCGGCCACACUGGGACUGAGACACGGACCAGACUCCUACGGGAGGCAGCAGUGGGGAAUAUUGCACAAUGGGCGAAAGCCUGAUGCAGCGACGCCGCGUGAGGGAUGACGGCCUUCGGGUUGUAAACCUCUUUCAGCAGGGAAGAAGCGAAAGUGACGGUACCUGCAGAAGAAGCACCGGCUAACUACGUG
This 467-nucleotide ribosomal RNA is filed under the name uncultured bacterium. Its description in RNAcentral is "partial 16S ribosomal RNA". It matches the Rfam family "Bacterial small subunit ribosomal RNA", at positions 29 to 507 of the family's 1533-position model. The record is from RNAcentral.